GAAGAGAGCUUGCUCUUGGAUUAGUGGCGAACGGGUGAGUAACACGUGAGUAACCUGCCCUUAACUCUGGGAUAAGCCUGGGAAACUGGGUCUAAUACCGGAUAUGACCUGUCACCGCAUGGUGGUGGGUGGAAAGAUUUUUUGGUUUUGGAUGGACUCGCGGCCUAUCAGCUUGUUGGUGAGGUAAUGGCUUACCAAGGCGACGACGGGUAGCCGGCCUGAGAGGGUACCCGGCCACACUGGGACUGAAACACGGCCCAGACUCCUACGGGAGGCAGCAGUGGGGAAUAUUGCACAAUGGGGGAAAGCCUGAUGCAGCGACGCCGCGUGAGGGAUGAAGGCCUUCGGGUUGUAAACCU
RNAcentral lists this ribosomal RNA (359 nucleotides) under uncultured bacterium. Its description in RNAcentral is "bacterial SSU rRNA". It matches the Rfam family "Bacterial small subunit ribosomal RNA", at positions 71 to 432 of the family's 1533-position model. The record is from RNAcentral.